Molecule: ribosomal RNA, 253 nt
Filed under: uncultured bacterium
Lineage: Bacteria
Description: partial 16S ribosomal RNA
Rfam family: Bacterial small subunit ribosomal RNA
Source: RNAcentral
CACGUAGUGCGCAAGCGUUGUCCGGAAUUAUUGGGCGUAAAGAGCUCGUAGGCGGUCUGUUACGUCUGCUGUGAAAACCCAGGGCUUAACCCUGGGCUUGCAGUGGAUACGGGCAGACUAGAGGCAGGUAGGGGAGAAUGGAAUUCCCGGUGUAGCGGUGAAAUGCGCAGAUAUCGGGAGGAACACCGGUGGCGAAGGCGGUUCUCUGGGCCUGACCUGACGCUGAGGAGCGAAAGCGUGGGGAGCGAACAGG